UACGUAGGGGGCAAGCGUUGUCCGGAUUUAUUGGGCGUAAAGAGCGUGUAGGCGGCCAGACAGGUCAGCUGUGAAAACUCGAGGCUCAACCUCGAGACGUCGGUUGAAACCGUCUGGCUAGAGUCCGGAAGAGGAGAGUGGAAUUCCCGGUGUAGCGGUGAAAUGCGCAGAUAUCGGGAAGAACACCCGUGGCGAAGGCGGCUCUCUGGGACGGUACUGACGCUGAGGAGCGAAAGCCAGGGGAGCGAACGGG
This 253-nucleotide ribosomal RNA is filed under the name uncultured bacterium. RNAcentral describes it as "partial 16S ribosomal RNA". It matches the Rfam family "Bacterial small subunit ribosomal RNA", at positions 524 to 776 of the family's 1533-position model. The record is from RNAcentral.